UACCAGUAAGUCCUGUGAAAUAGAAGUAACAGUUAUAGAGUACAGGUAAGUCCUGUGAAAUACAGGUAAGGGUUAUAGAAUACAAGUAAGUCCUGUGAAAUACAAUUUGGCAUUGUAGAGUACAGGUAAGUCCUGUGAAAUACAUGUAAGAGUUGUAGAAUACCAGUAAGUCCUUUGAAAUAGAAGUGAGAGUUGUAGAGUACAGGUAAGUCCUGUGAAAUACAGGUAAGGGUUAUAGAAUACAAGUAAGUCCUGUGAAAUACAAUUUGGCAUUGUAAAGUACAGGUAAGUCCUGUGAAAUACAGGUAAGAGUUGUAGAAUACCAGUAAGUCCUGUGAAAUACAGGUUAGAGUUGUAGAAUACCAGUAAGUCCUGUGAAAUAGAAGUGAGAGUUGUAGAGUACAGGUAAGUCCUGUGAAAUACAGGUAAGGGUUAUAGAAUAGAAGUUAAGUCCUGUGAAAUACAAGUAAGAGUUGUAGAGUACAGGUAAGUCCUGUGAAAUACAGGUAAGAGUUGUAGAAUACCAGUAAGUCCUGUGAAAUACAAGUGAGAGUUGUAGAGUACAGGUAAGUCCUGUGAAAUACAGGUAAGGGUUAUAGAACACAAGUAAGUCCUGUGAAAUACAAUUUGGCAUUGUAGAGUACAGGUAAGUCCUGUGAAAUACAGGUUAGAGUUGUAGAAUACCAGUAAGUCCUGUGAAAUAGAAGUGAGAGUUGUAGAAUACAG
Molecule: long non-coding RNA, 726 nt
Organism: Cyprinus carpio carpio
Lineage: Eukaryota; Metazoa; Chordata; Actinopteri; Cypriniformes; Cyprinidae
Source: Ensembl